RNAcentral lists this ribosomal RNA (253 nucleotides) under uncultured bacterium. RNAcentral describes it as "partial 16S ribosomal RNA". It matches the Rfam family "Bacterial small subunit ribosomal RNA", at positions 524 to 776 of the family's 1533-position model. The record is from RNAcentral.
UACAGAGGGUGCAAGCGUUGUUCGGAAUCAUUGGGCGUAAAGCGUACGUAGGCGGCUUGCUAAGUCGGGUGUGAAAUCCCAGGGCUUAACCUUGGACGUGCAUCUGAAACUGGCUAGCUUGAAUCUCGGAGAGGGUGGUGGAAUUCCCAGUGUAGAGGUGAAAUUCGUAGAUAUUGGGAGGAACACCGGUGGCGAAGGCGACCACCUGGACGAAGAUUGACGCUGAGGUACGAAAGCGUGGGGAUCAAACAGG